This 68-nucleotide transfer RNA is filed under the name Eucrate crenata. RNAcentral describes it as "tRNA-Asp". The record is from RNAcentral. Lineage: Eukaryota; Metazoa; Arthropoda; Malacostraca; Decapoda; Goneplacidae.
AAGAAAUUAGUUAAUACUCAAUAACAUUAGAUUGUCAUUCUAAAAUAAUCUUCCUUAGAUAUUUCUUG